GGGUGUGUGGUUCUCUCUGACGGUCGGAACCUUUGCUCGACAAUUUGGCUGUCCAGGGAAGUUUUAGGCGGUGAUACCUUCCACGGACCAACCUACAGAUAAGAACGUGGAGAAGUAAGCGGGGCGGGCGCUGCGAGGCGACGGCUGUGGCUGGGCCCGGGAGGCUGUCACCCGGCUGCCGCCCCGCCACAGUCCGGGGGCGCCAUCUCCGCUGCGCGUCGCUCCGGCCCGGCGCGGUCUCUUUCUCUUUCCGGCCGGCUCCUGCUCGGCGGUGCCCGGGUUUGUCUCCGCUUCGCCGCUACCCCGACUGCGUCGCCCCAGCCUUGCCCUCGGCCUUGCUCGGAGACUCCCGGACCCCCAGGGAGCCGCCAGAGCCGGAAUCAUGGAGGAGGCAUCGUCAUGCUCCCUCAACAGCACCACUCUGUUCCAGCAGGAAGAUGCAAAAGGGAUUACCUACCGGAUCCCAGCGUUGCUCUACAUUCCUCCCAGCUGCACCUUCCUGGCCUUUGCAGAGAAGCGGUCCACAGUCAAAGAUGAGGAUGCCCUCUACCUGGUGCUCCGGCGAGGGGUGAUGAGGGGGCGCUCUGUACAGUGGGGUCCCCUACAGCCACUGCUGGAAGCCACAUUACCUGGGCAUCGGACCAUGAACCCCUGCCCUGUGUGGGAGCAGAAUACUGGCCGCGUGUACCUGUUUUUCCUCUGUGUGCAGGCCCAUGUCACUGAGCGUUGCCAGAUUAUGUGGGGCAAGAAUGCCUGCCGUCUCUGCUUCCUUUGCAGUGAGGAUGCUGGGUGCUCAUGGGGUGAAGUGAAAGACUUGACUGAAGAGGUCAUUGGCUCAGAGGUGAAGCACUGGGCCACGUUUGCUGUGGGCCCAGGUCAUGGCAUCCAGCUGCAGUCUGGGAGGCUGAUCAUCCCGGCCUAUGCCUAUUAUAUCUCGCACUGGUUUUUCUGCUUUCCAUGCUCAGUCAAGCCCCACUCCCUGAUGAUCUACAGUGAUGACUUAGGAGUCACAUGGCACCAUGGCAAGUUCAUUGGGCCCCAGAAGACAGGGGAGUGCCAAGUGGCAGAAGUGACUGGGAGGGCUGGUAACCCUGUGCUCUACUGCAGUGCCCGGACACCGAACAGAUUCCGAGCAGAGGCUUUUAGCUGUGAUUGUGGUGACUACUUUCAGAAGCCAACCCUGAACCCACAACUCCGUGAGCCUCGCUAUGGCUGCCAAGGCAGUGUGGUGAGCUUCCGGCCCUUGAAGAUGCCAGACAUACGUCAAGACCCAAGUGGUAAAGAUUCUCCCACUACUCAGAAGUACCCUCUGCUGGACAGUUCUCUGGAGGCAGAGGAAGGAGCAGGAAGAUGGCUCUUCUACUCACAUCCAACUAGCAAGAAGCAUAGACUUAACCUAGGCAUCUACUGCAACCGGAACCCCUUGGAGGUGACCUGCUGGUCCUGCCCCUGGAUCUUGCGCUAUGGGCCCUGUGGCUACUCUGAUCUGGCUGUUGUGGAAGAACAAGGCUUGUUGGCAUGUUUGUUUGAAUGUGGGAAGGAGCAUGGAUAUGAGCAGAUUGACUUCUGUUUGUUUUCAGACCAAGAGGUCCUGAGCUGUGAUGACUGCACCAGCCCUAUGAACUAAAGCCAAAUCAGGACUGAUGGGUGAGGACCCAACUUUCUGCAGAAGGGAAUGGCAACCACAGCCAGGAUAACAGAAGUCUCUGCUGUCUAUAGAAACCCAAGGACUAAUACUCUGCUCCUUGCAUUUUUUCACUUUUCCUUUCAAUGAUCUAGUGAAAAUUAUACCAUUCAACAAGGUUGUUGAAGUGGGAGUUUGGAGACCAUGCUUUGGUUUUGGAUCUGCUGGUGGCUUGUCUUAGGACUUUGAAUGAAUCACCUGACCUCUUUGGGCAUCAGAUCUCCAUUUGUAAAUGUGAAGCCCAAUGUCACCGAAGACCUCUCUCCAGACAGUAGUGGGCCCUCCAGCUCUGCAGUCACCCAAAGUUUUCAGGGCCCUGGGACCUAUCUCAUGGUGUGGUAACAAUUGUUGAAGCCACUUCAGCUGUCUUCAGGUUGGUAGAAAAGUAGAAAAGACAGGGUGGGUAGUCACACCUGUGAAGGAAAAAGAGAGAGAGAGAGAAGGCAGAAAAGAGGCUUUGAUCUUUGCCUUCAGAGCUUCCCAAUCUGCCCCUUAGGUCUUGAGAACAGAGCAGUCCAGUACAAUAGCUUCUUUGGAAGUGGUCCAACUUUUCUGGACCACUGGAGUUCCAGAGGUGGGUCCUCCUGUCCACUCAGCCUUCUGGCUCUGCUCAUGUUCCUUAAUAUUCACCUCAGGUUAAUGUUGCUUGGUGCUGCAUUUGGACCUGUGUCUCUUGGUCAUGAGUCUCUCCACAGAGGGCCAGAGGAUGUCAUGAAGCUUCAGAGUGAACCUAAGAACCCACAGAGAUCAACCUGAGGAAGAGGAUUGAUGAUCUCCAUCCAGCCCUACUGGGCUGAUCACUCUUCUCCAGAGGGCUGUGUCAUCUCUCUGCAGCUGAAGUCACAUUCUGAGCCUCCCAUUGGUCCUUCCGUAGGCUGCCAGGUCAUAUCUGCUGUGUCCUCUAGACCUCUGCUAGUGGGGGUGGAGGAAACCAUUGUCCUUUUUAACCUAGAAUCAAUAAUUUAUCUAUAAAUAUGAUUUUCCUAUCGCAUUCUGAAUUCCCUGAAAGUAAGUGCUGUCUGAUCCCCGUCUUUGUUCCCGGUCCCCACUGAAGGGUCUGAGAUGGUAAGCAGCAGGAGAGCUAGGCUGACGGAAUGAGCCAGAGGUUCUUGGCAUACUUCAGCUGCAUUCUCCCCCUGCAGGUCUCCACAUUCAAACGCUGCUGAACAGUCACCUGAAGUGAGAGCCUGGGGUUCUGGCUGGUUCCAGCUCGGUCACGACGCUUCCUGGGGCUGGGCUUUUCUUUAGGUUGGCCCAGUCUGCUCUUGUGAGAUGCCCGAAGCUUAAGCUGUGAUGUUUGGGGUUCUCAUUUCACUGGUAUUUCCCUUUUGUUCCUCAUUGGAUUUUCCAUGACCACCACUCCUCCAAGGCUCCAAGGGAGAUGCUGAGCUCACCAUGUCCUGUGUGUCUUACCUGGCUCUGUGAUGUCAGCACCAGACACAUCACUGUGCCAUAAACACUACCGUUAUUUAGAAGGGCAAUUACAGCCUGUGGGUCGCAACCCUUUUCUCAGAGGUUACCUCAGACCAUCAGAAAAACCCAUAUUUACAUUACAAUUCAUAACAGUAGCAAAAUUACUGUUAGGAAGUAGCAAUGAAAAUAAUCUUAUGGUUGGGGUCACCACAACAUGAACUAUCUUAAAGGGUCACAGCAUUAGGAAGGUUGAGAACUGCUGACUUAGAACCAAUAAAGAUGCUUAAAGGUCGUCA
Molecule: RNA transcript, 3393 nt
Organism: Meriones unguiculatus (Mongolian gerbil)
Lineage: Eukaryota; Metazoa; Chordata; Mammalia; Rodentia; Muridae
Gene: Neu3
Gene name: neuraminidase 3
Exons: 4
Source: RefSeq, a predicted model, not a curated record